This 496-nucleotide ribosomal RNA is filed under the name uncultured bacterium. RNAcentral describes it as "partial 16S ribosomal RNA". It matches the Rfam family "Bacterial small subunit ribosomal RNA", at positions 29 to 507 of the family's 1533-position model. The record is from RNAcentral.
AUGAACGCUGGCGGCGUGCCUCAUACAUGCAAGUCGCGCGAACAGACGAGGAGCUUGCUCCUCUGACGUUAGCGGCGGACGGGUGAGUAACACGUGGAUAACCUACCUAUAAGACUGGGAUAACUUCGGGAAACCGGAGCUAAUACCGGAUAAUAUAUUGAACCGCAUGGUUCAAUAGUGAAAGACGGUUUUGCUGUCACUUAUAGAUGGAUCCGCGCCGCAUUAGCUAGUUGGUAAGGUAACGGCUUACCAAGGCAACGAUGCGUAGCCGACCUGAGAGGGUGAUCGGCCACACUGGAACUGAGACACGGUCCAGACUCCUAAGGGAGGCAGCAGUAGGGAAUCUUCCGCAAUGGGCGAAAGCCUGACGGAGCAACGCCGCGUGAGUGAUGAAGGUCUUCGGAUCGUAAAACUCUGUUAUUAGGGAAGAACAAAUGUGUAAGUAACUAUGCACGUCUUGACGGUACCUAAUCAGAAAGCCACGGCUAACUACGUG